RNAcentral lists this ribosomal RNA (524 nucleotides) under Dothideomycetes sp. genotype 162. Its description in RNAcentral is "eukaryotic LSU rRNA". The stretch from base 157 to 310 matches the Rfam family "5.8S ribosomal RNA". Lineage: Eukaryota; Fungi; Ascomycota; Dothideomycetes. The record is from RNAcentral.
AUCGAGCGGGUACAGGUGACUGUAUCCUCUCUCCUUGCUGUAUUACGCCCUUGUUUUUCAAUUUCUAUUUGUUUCCUCGGCAGGAUUUCCUGCCGGUUGGAUAAAACUAUAACCUUUUUUUAUCUUCAAUCANCGUCUGAACAAGUUAAUAAUUACAACUUUCAACAACGGAUCUCUUGGUUCUGGCAUCGAUGAAGAACGCAGCGAAAUGCGAUAAGUAGUGUGAAUUGCAGAAUUCAGUGAAUCAUCGAAUCUUUGAACGCACAUUGCGCCCCUUGGUAUUCCAUGGGGCAUGCCUGUUCGAGCGUCAUUUGUACCUUCAAGCUCUGCUUGGUGUUGGGUGUUUGUCCUUGCUCCUAGGGAGUAGGACUCGCCUUGAAGUAAUUGGCAGCCAGUGUUUUGGUUUGAAGCGCAGCACAAGUCGCGAUUUAAGCUGAAUCAAUAGCUCUCCAUUAAGACAUCUAUCACUUUUGACCUCGGAUCAGGUAGGGAUACCCGCUGAACUUAAGCAUAUCAAUAAGCGG